ACGGAAGGCAGCAGCUAAGAAUAUUCCGCAAUGGACGAAAGUCUGACGGAGCGACGCCGCGUGGAUGAUGAAGGUCGGAAGAUUGUAAAAUCCUUUUAUAACUGAGGAAUAAGCAGUGUGAGAGAAACGCAUUGCGGUGACUGUAGGUUAUGAAUAAGCAACGGCUAAUUACGUGCCAGCAGCCGCGGUAACACGUAAGUUGCGAGCGUUGUUCGGAAUUAUUGGGCGUAAAGGGCAUGUAGGCGGUUUUGCAAGCUUGAUGUGAAAGGCAGGAGCUUAACUCCUGGACUGCGCCGGAAACUGCAAAACUAGAGUGACUGAGGAGCAAUCAGAAUUCCAGGUGUAGGGGUGAAAUCUGUAGAUAUCUGGAAGAAUACCAAUGGCGAAGGCAGGUUGCUAGCAGAUGACUGACGCUGAGGUGCGAAGGUGCGGGGAGCAAACAGGAUUAGAUACCCUGGUA
Molecule: ribosomal RNA, 460 nt
Filed under: uncultured Treponema sp.
Lineage: Bacteria; Pseudomonadati; Spirochaetota; Spirochaetia; Treponematales; Treponemataceae
Description: partial 16S ribosomal RNA
Rfam family: Bacterial small subunit ribosomal RNA
Source: RNAcentral